GAGUCUAAAGAAAAUAGCAAUAAACUCAUAAUUAACUUUAAAUAAUAAUAACUAGUAAAAAGGCUUAAAGGAAUAUAUAGCCACUGUUAUGCCAGUUAGGAAAUUCAUAUGAACUGAGCUUUUCACAAAAAUAUUACUACAGUUUCUACUUUCUCACAGGUUAUGCAUAUAAUAAACACAUCUGAGCAGUUAAGGAAACCUGAAUAGUCUUAACACUUAUUGAAUACAUAUCAUACUAUUCCAAAUUAUUAAAAUGACUUUUUUAACCUUGAAAAUACCAUAUUAGGAUUACAAUGUUCAAUUUGUAACCAUAAAGGACUUUUUACAGCUUUUAGCAAUUCAAAACUCAGAGAUUAUUGAUACCCACACUUAAUAAUUUCUCAAUUAUUAGCACUAUAGAAAAAGACAUUUUAUUUCAGUAUAGCCUCCACUGUAAUAAUUUUGUCUCUUAAUUUUCUAUAAGUUACCAUCUUUGUUAGAAAGAGAUAAAAUAUUCAACAAUCCUUUUGACACUGGCUUACACAGAGUAAUGGACCUGUCUUGCGGAGCUUUCCUGUUUUGACUAAGUGACCUUCUUUUGCUCAUUUAUACAAAUUCAAUGACCAAGACUUCAUAUUUCAAUCUUUUUAUGUAAUUACAUUUUACCUUUCUAUAUACAUAUGUAAAAUACGGAUAUACUCGGUUCGUAAUGACCACCAACUUCACAAAUGAAUCUGGUAUUGUAUCAAUAGAAACAUAGACACAAUAAAACUAAAAUCACUAAAGAAUAAUAUGAGAAACAUCCUUUCACAUACAUGUAACACAUAUACUUUAAUUUUUUCAUCAACAGAAAAAACACCUUGGAUCUGCCUAUUCCUAAAUUCUAAUUCAAUGAACAAUGAGGACAUUUUAAUAAAAAGCUUGGACUCAGUGGAAAAAAUAAAGGCUGGACUCGAACUCCUGAGCUCAAGCAAGCCUCCUGCCUCAGCCUCCCAAGUAGCUGGGACUCCAGGUGCUCACCACGACACACAGCUCAAUUACAUCAGGUUUUAUAACUACUUAAGUAAAACUUACAUUUUCAAUGUUCUUAAUGUUUAUUCCCUUAGUUUAAUCAAUACUUUUUAAAAAAAUCUUGUAAUACUUUUUCAAAUCAUGAAAAGAGUGGGUUUUGUUAACCUAUACAAGGAGUUUGCAAACUACAGCUUGUGUGCCAAAUCUGGCCUGCUGCUUAUUUUUGUAAAUAAAGUUUUCAUGGAACACA
This is a long non-coding RNA of Homo sapiens (human), 1240 nucleotides long. RefSeq lists it as uncharacterized. The transcript is spliced from 2 exons. Lineage: Eukaryota; Metazoa; Chordata; Mammalia; Primates; Hominidae. The record is from RefSeq and is a predicted model, not a curated record.